AUUUCACUGUCACCAUCCUUUCUGUUCUAAGUUUGUUCCCCACUGAAUUCAAAUAUCUUAGAGACCAGCUCAUUGGUAGAAAAUAAACCACUUAAAAUCUUAGCUUCGAAAGAAUCUAGAAGGUGAAGUUUUACUUUCUAAAAUCUUCCAAAUUUAAGACUAGAAAGAAGGUGUAUACCAGCUGCUUGAUAAAUCAAUACACUGUCUUUACACAGUGAUAUUUAGCGUGAAAUCAUAUUUUUCAAGUAUGAAGUUGAACCAUUCAUAACUGCUAUUUUUUGGAUAAAUAAAUGAGUGAAUAUUGACAUUUUUAUUUUUCAAACCAUAUGCAUAUUAAUGACAAUUAAUUUGAAAAUUAAAAGAAACACUGGUUAUUGAUAACGUUAAUAGACCACGGAUAUGGAGAACAGACAAUUGAAUAGGGAUGCCGUUUGUGACUUCUGAAUUUAUACUCUAAACACAUAUAAACUGUUGCCCAUAAAAGAGAAUAUUUAUAAUGAUUAAAUGUUACUGUGUUUUGAUUCCCUGCUUUUCACCUUGUUGAUGAAGGCAGGAUUUCUGCCCCAGGUUUAUAACAAUGACUGAACACACAAUAUGUGGCACUGGGUAGAUGAGAUUGACAGCAGUUUGUUAGUCACAUAUACUGAGAACCUGAGGGAGGAGGGCACUGCACUGCACAGGCCCAAGUGGGGGCUGCACUAGGGAAGAAUGAACAGGUAAGGGCUAUGCUAUGGCAGGCAGGCUUCAUAAUAACAAGAGGAUGAGAUGAUCCCUGGUUCUGAUCAUCCUGCAGGAUGAUGUGAUUGGCUUGUGUGAAUGAUCCUUCAGGCUGUCAGGGAACUGACCUUUGCUCCUCAGGAAAAUCAGGGACUAUGCCUGGGCCCUGUGAACAGGAGGAUUCUUUGAUCAGGGACCAAAUCCAUAGGAACACAACAGGGAGGAGCACUUGUCAUUAGGAAAUUUGAGGCCUUCUAGAAUUUCCCCAGAUGCCAAGGCACACAUCAUAUCAGGACUUAAUUUUAAGCGUCAGACUGCAUAUGGUGAUAUGUUUGCACUUUAUGUAAUAUGAAUAUAAUGGAAUGGUAUAUUUCCAAAGGUGAAUGUUUCACUAUCAAAGCAAUUCUGAGAUUUUCCUUAUAGGAAAUUUUGACACUGCUCCAAGUUUUAAAAUUUAAAUUUAAAUUAACUGUGUAUGAAAUUAAAAAUUCAGUUCCUCAGUUUCAGUAGCCACAUUUCCUUUGCCCAAUUCCACAUGCAUGUAGUUAAUGACUGCUAUAUAGACAACCAUUUUAUUUUACUUUAUUUUCUUUUUUUUGUUUUUUAGGGCCACACCCACAGCAUAUGGAAGUUCCCAGGCUAGGGGUUAAAUCAGAGCUGCAGCUGCCAGCCUACCCCAUAGCCAUAGCACUCCAGAUCCGAGGUGCAUCUGCAACCUACACCACAGCUUAUGGCAAUGCCAGAUCCCUAACCCACUGAGCAAGGCAAGGGAUCGAACCCACAACCUCAUGGUUACUGGAUGGUUUUGUUUCUGCUGCACCAGGAUGGGAACUCCUAUAUAGAUGACCAUUUUAGAUGAAGAUAUGGAGACUAACAGAGUUAAGUUCUUAUCCUAGAGAAAACAGAGAUUACAACUUGAUUCCAGUCUUGCUGCAACUAUAAGAUAUUUAUACUUCUUUUGAAUCAUACAAUAGCUGAAUUUGAGAUGUGGAGUUAGGUAACUCUCUAUAAGAGAAGAAACUAGAGCAAACAUUUGGAGGUUCAAAUUAAAAUUACAAAAAGUUAAUUUAUCUGGAUGGAAAAGUUGGAUCUUUUCUACCUAACUUAAAAUUUUAUUCUAGUUUCAAUAAUAAUGGGAUCUCCGAAAUAAUGUAUGCUCCCUAAUCCUUAAACCUAUACUCAGUGCUACGUAUACUGCCUAGCAUUUAUUCAUGAAUAAAAUUUACUAUGUGCAUUCAUCCAUUGAUUCAUUUAUUUAUUCAGCAGUUUUCUCCCAUGUAUUCCAUGCCCCAAUUUGAUUGCCUUGGGAUAAUAUUGAACAGACCUGAUAUUUUCUGCCCUUCUGGAGUUUACAGUGUGAUUGAGAGUGACAGAAAAUCAACAAAUGUGUUAUUAAUGUAUAGGAAAUGAUUACAGAUUCGUAAAGUACAAUAAAGUCAAGCAAGCAAGCUGAUAUAUUAGGAAAACACUGGGAGUUCACUGCUGAUGGGUGGUCAGAGAAACUAUCUCUGAGGUGAAAUCAUUUAAGCCCAGAUAUGAAUGACAAAGAGGAAUUUGUGAUCUGUUCAAAUGCAGGAAGAGUUUACCAGGCAGAAGCAAAAGCUAGUGUAAAGACCAGGAGGAUCAAGCUUGGCAUAUGUGCGGGCAAAAGAGAAUAGCAAAAUGGCUGGAUUGAGUAAACAAUGUGAGUGAGUGAGAGGAUGGAGUCCAAGAGGUUGUCACAAGCCAAAGAUUGCAGGUUUCACUGGCCAUGGUGAGGAGUUUGGAUCUUCUGUGUUAAUCAGUGGUCAUAAGAGUGCUGUAAGCAAUAGAAUGGCAUGAUGACAAAACACAAAAUUUUUGGUAACUUCUAAGGAAAGCAGAGAGGGGAAAGCUCAUUUACAGUACAGGGUAUGGGACUACUGACACGAUAUCCUGGAAGGGCUAGGCAUUGAGACAGACCUUGAAGAAUGAGCAGCAGUUUUGACACAUUUAAAACCGAGCUGCAUAAUGGUAGAGGCACAAAAACAUGAAGGAAGUUUAGGACAUGGAGAAUCAUUUGAUAUAGGUGAACUGCAUGCCUUUAGAGUGUGAUGUUUAACUAGAAAGAUGUCUGGGAAGGUAAAUUCAGUGUUCCCUUGUUGUCUUCACUGGAUGAUUCCUCUAAUAGAGUUCUGGCUCUGCUCCUUCUCUUUUGCAUAUAAAACACACCAAAUUCUGUAGGAGAGAGGAAAAUAUUUGCCAUGGAUCUGCUAUCUCUGCUUGUGCAAGACUGUUCCCUGGUCACAGCUUCCAAUAAUCAGGAAUACCAUCUGCUAUGGGUUGAAUUUUUUCCUCCCCCAAAAAUUCAUAUUCUGAAGUUCUAACUCCUAUUACUUCAAAAUAUGACUGGAGAUAAAGUCCUUAAUUAGGUAAAUUAACUAAAUUUAAUGAGGUCAUUAAAAUGGAUCCCAGUUUAACAUGGCUUGUGUCCUUAUUGAGAAGAGGACCUUUGGACACAGAUAAGAAAAGAGAUGAUAUGAAGUCAGGGAUAAAAUAGCCUUUGACAAACCAUGGAGAGAGACCCAGAAAAGAUCUUCCUUUCUUAGUCCUCAGAAGGAACCAAUCAGUUUGAUGAUCUGUGCUUCUAGCCUUCAAGACUAUGAAAUAAUGAAUAUCUAUUGUUUAAGCCACUCAGUCUGUGAUCCUUUUUUCAUAGCAUCCCUAGCAAACUCAUAACUAUCCCCAUGAACUUUUGUUAAGUCAUGGCAAUGGUUUGUCUAUUUCAGUGGCAUUCAGGGAGUUUGUAUGCAGGAAAAGGAAAGCAAGAUUGUGGAGAGCUGUCCUUCUGCCUCCCAGCCCACAGUGCCAAUUCUUAGUAAAGAAUUUCCUGUUCCCAUCGUGGUUCAGUGGUUAACGAACCCGACUAAGAACCAUGAGGUUGCAGGUUUGAUCCCUGGCCUUGCUCAGUAGGUUAAGGAUCCAGAGUUGCUGUGAGCUGUGGUAUACGUUGCAGACAUGGCUCGGAACCCGCGUUGCUGUGGCUGUGUGUAGGUUGGUGGCUACAGCUCUGAUUAGACCCCUAGCCUGGGAACCUCCACAUGCCACAGGAGCAGCCCUAGAAAAAGGCAAAAAG
This 3811-nucleotide long non-coding RNA is filed under the name Sus scrofa (pig). RNAcentral's name for it is "lncRNA (ENSSSCG00000051939.1)". The record is from RNAcentral. Lineage: Eukaryota; Metazoa; Chordata; Mammalia; Artiodactyla; Suidae.